Molecule: long non-coding RNA, 358 nt
Filed under: Capsicum annuum
Lineage: Eukaryota; Viridiplantae; Streptophyta; Magnoliopsida; Solanales; Solanaceae
Description: long non-coding RNA (CANN_LNC006031)
Source: RNAcentral
AAGGAGAAGGCCCAAACUGAACAAAUAUCAAAAUCCAAAGUAGGCACGAAUCAAUGAAACCUCUUCAACUCCGCCUAACGUCACCGGCGGUCAGGUUAGAAUAUUUCAUGGUCCUAUUUCGGCUGUCUAAUAUUCAAUAAAGCUCCUUUUCUAAACAACUUAGCACCAGAGAUUAACAUCACACAAAGAAGAGAGGAUUAUCAAUAAAGCAUCCACCCAUAAAUUUUUCAACACUCUCAGAGUAAUCAAAAACGCCUUCUUGGUUGCGUGCGAGAGGUAGAUUUGAAGAACUUGAUACCCCCAAUGUGAUUCUUCGUCAACAGAUUGAUCUAUCUUCUCAUAUUUCUCAGGUUGUCAC